RNAcentral lists this non-coding RNA (92 nucleotides) under Amorphochlora amoebiformis. The record is from RNAcentral. Lineage: Eukaryota; Cercozoa; Chlorarachniophyceae.
AAAAAAUAAAAAUAAAAAUUCGGAAAAAAAAAAAAAGUUAAUAUGAAGAAAAAGACGAGACACAUGCAGCGUAUUUUUAUUUUUAAUUGUUU